UAUACACGAGAAGCAUAGACACGCUUAUGACCGCUCUCUCGCUCUCGCUUCCUCUCUCGCUCUCGCUUCCUCUCUCACCACCGUCCUCCUCUGCUUCACAACAAAACACAACCGUCCGGCCUGCUCCUCGCCUUUCCUGUUUCAUCUCCCCGUCACUUUUUUCAAUUUGGGGACGUCGUUAGCAUCUUGAAGUUCCACGUAAAAGCGAACGCGAAGGCUCGUGCUUCUGUAUAUAUAGAUAUAUUUGUAUAUUGCAAGUGCUGCUUUUAAUGGCAGCAGCACCAGUGAAGCCGCAGCCGCUGCAUAACUUCCCCCUCUCCCUCAAAUGGGGUCAGACCGCCGCACUCUCUGCCCCCAGCAACCACCACCACCAUCGGAGUAGUAAUAGCAGCCUUCCCACGUCCGCACUUGCACCUGACACUGAGACUGAAUCUGACCCGGAACAAACAACAAUCCGGCAUCCUCAUCGGGUCGGAUCCCGCUCUGCUCGUGCUCAUCGUUUCUCAUUCACGUCUUGCACACCCCUCUUGCCGAAACCGAAAAAUUCAUCGACGGAAAAUCAGCAGAAACAAACAACGUGUUUGGAAACAGAAGUCGCUGAAAAGCCGCAGAAGCAAGUCACCGUUCUGGAAAACUGCAACGGAGCUGACGCUGAAGAAGACGAAGAGGAGGAUAAACAUAAGCAAGAAGAGGAAGAAGGCAAUUCGAGGCCAUGGAAAUUGAGGCCAAGAAGAGGAAUUUUGGCAGCUAAGAGUAGAGGGGAGUUGAAAGAAGCGGUGAUGGUACAUGUAAAUGAGAAGAAGGAGAGGGAGGAUACUCCGCAGUUCCAGCCGAAAUCGAUGAGAUUGAGGGGAUUGGUAGAGUCUACUGGAGGAGGCGCCGGGACUUGCUUGGAAAAGAAGGAGAAGAGGAAAUUUUGGAUAGCUCUGUCUAGAGAAGAAAUUGAGGAGGAUAUUUUCGCUUUGACUGGGUCGAGACCUGCUAGGAGGCCCAGGAAACGACCGAAGAACGUGCAGAAGGUGCUUGAUAACGUUUUUCCUGGAUUGUGGUUGGUGGGAACUACAGCCGAUUCUUAUAGAGUUGCCGAUCCUCCAGUGAAGAGGUAAAUAUAACCGUGUAUCAUCAGAUAUUCGAGGUCUUUCUGGACGUUUGAAGUGCUACUCCCGCAGCAAUGAGGCCUCAAUUUGAGUGAGUUCUGUGAAAAGGCAGAGGAGGCUUCCCCACUUCUUUGGGGGCAGAGUAGCAAGCUUCUUGUUUGUUUCAAAACUUAAUUCAAUAUAUGAUUUCUGACUGGAGGCCCUGCUUGCUUCCUUGUUGUGGAAGUCUUAUUCUCCGGUUGAGAUUCAUCAAGUCAAAUUCCUGAUAAGCUAGGACUGAAGAUGCACAGAAAAGUUAGCUAGGGUGGAAUCUGAUGUUGAAAGUUAUUCGCAUAAACAAGUUCUCUCUUCUUUGGGAAGUUUGGUCAACUAGGAUGAUUCAGUACUGUGGCCAAUAUUGGAAGAAACGAACUGCUUGCAACCAUUUUUUGUGGGAAUUAAUUAAUUGGGUAUAUUCAGUGGGUUUUUUGGUCUCCAACAAUUUUGCGGCAAAGUUGCCACAGAUCCAAACAGGGACAACCUAGGGAUAAAAGAUAGAAGAACUAUUUCGUAGGGAUUUUUUUAUCAAUGUUAUUUCAGUUGCUCUUCUGUCCUAAUGGCUGAUUGUUACUUUUGUUUGCAGUUGUGUGAAUAUUUUUCUUGUAAUAAUAUAUUUCUUAUAUAUAUUUCUGGUAAACUGAGACUUGGUCAAAGUUGGGAAAACUUUCUGUUCAAAUGGUAGGUAGGCUGUAUAGUUUGAUAAGGCUGAAGGAAAGAUUAAUAUAUGUGAUGUUAUGAGCUUUCUUUUGAUGUGCAUCAUUUUGACAAACAAUCAUGGGCACUUGGUCCUUCAUUUUAAAUCAAAUUAUUUUCUUAUCUUUCACGUACUUGAUGUCUGUACUUGGAUGAUCAUAUGGAUAUGUUCUAAGUAUAGAGCAAAACUGUGAGUGAGGGAGGGUUCUGUACCAACACAUCAAGUGCAAAAGCAAUUUGUUAUCUUCAAGCUUCGAUUUGAUGAUUAAAUUUGGUUUAGUGCAGUUGUGUUCUUAUUUCUCCAGGAAAAAUUAGGAUCGUUCCUGCAUUUUCACUUGGUGGCCAAACUUUGUAAACUUUGGAGGAGUAUUUCAUUGUGUUGCUGUUUAUGUAAUUAUUAUAGAAUUGCAAUAGAACUUGAAUGUCUGCAUCUAAGAUAUGUUAUCAUAGAGUUCUAUUUCUUACCAAGUGACUAAUUCUUGAUUGUCCAUUGCUCUGCAAUCAGAAACAUCAAGAACAAGUUAAGCACUGGCAAAAUUCUACUUGUGGAAUUAAUUUUUAUUCACACUAUCCUCAUCUAGUUUGUGUGCAUGCUGUAAUCGCUUUGAAAAAUCUGUUGCAUGGGUCUAGAUGGGUUAAAUCUAGGUAUCAAAUUACUGAUAAAUUUGACGGUGACUUGUAUUCUUGAAGGGACUGUAAAUUCCUGAUUCAGUUUUGGCAUUACUUACGGUUGAUAUUUGGGAUUUUGUGCAGCUCCUAUUUCUGAGAUAUCCUCAAGAGUGAUAUUCUCAUAACAAAUGCAUCUUUUUUAACCCUUUGCCUUAAACAGCAACUUAGUUGGUCUGUCAUUUUAGGGAGGUUGGAUAUUUCUUUCGCAUUAAUGGGAAGUUAAUCUAUUUGUCCAGCUCAAAUUGAUUGGCCUGUUCCCUAAUAGUAUAACUCUAUAGUAAUUUAUGGUAAUUAUGGAUUUUCAUGUUGAUGUUGAUUACCUACUUUUCCUCUCUCUCCCCUCCCCCUCCCUCCUCCUUAUAGUUGAAGAUUCUACCUGCCAUCUUGAAUAAAUGAAUUUAUUGCUUUCUCAGCUCCUUUUAAAUAAUGUAGCAUCAUUUUAGUUGUAAUGCACAUCGACCCAUGAAUCUCUAGUGUGAAGAACAAAUGAUGAACAGCUAAUAUGGAGGCAUGUCUGAUGUCUGGGAGUGGGAGAAUGUGGAGUUCCUUUCUAAAACAUGAUGGUAUUGGUAAGACACAUGUGAGCCAAGUGAGUUAAACACCAAAAUUUGUGAAAAUGCAAUUGAUCUUUCCUUUUUUUAUUUUGGGCUAAAGAUAGUAAGGAAGCUUCAUCAUGCUGAUGCUAUUAUUCCAUUGCCUGAUGGUUUCUUUCUAAUAGACAUUAAACUUCAGAACCACUGUAAAUUGAUGCUAUUGAUUUUCGUUUGUGU
RNA transcript from Manihot esculenta (cassava), 3268 nucleotides. RefSeq lists it as uncharacterized. The record is from RefSeq and is a predicted model, not a curated record. The transcript is spliced from 5 exons. Lineage: Eukaryota; Viridiplantae; Streptophyta; Magnoliopsida; Malpighiales; Euphorbiaceae.